UACGUAGGAUCCGAGCGUUGUCCGGAAUUACUGGGCGUAAAGGGUGCGUAGGCGGCAAUGUGCGUCAGAGGUGAAAUCCACGGGCUUAACUUGUGGGGUGCCUUUGAUACGGCAUAGCUUGAGUACGAGAGAGGUCGAUGGAAUUCCUGGUGUAGCAGUGAAAUGCGUAGAUAUCAGGAGGAACACCGGUGGCGAAGGCGGUCGGCUGGCUCGUAACUGACGCUGAGGCACGAAAGCGUGGGGAUCAAACAGGAUUAGAUACCCUGGUAGUCCACGCCAUAAACGAUGUAUGCUUGGUGUUGGGUG
This 306-nucleotide ribosomal RNA is filed under the name uncultured bacterium. RNAcentral describes it as "bacterial SSU rRNA". It matches the Rfam family "Bacterial small subunit ribosomal RNA", at positions 524 to 829 of the family's 1533-position model. The record is from RNAcentral.